RNAcentral lists this ribosomal RNA (504 nucleotides) under uncultured bacterium. RNAcentral's name for it is "partial 16S ribosomal RNA". It matches the Rfam family "Bacterial small subunit ribosomal RNA", at positions 29 to 523 of the family's 1533-position model. The record is from RNAcentral.
AUUGAACGCUGGCGGCAGGCCUAACACAUGCAAGUCGAACGGUAGCACAGAGAGCUUGCUCUCGGGUGACGAGUGGCGGACGGGUGAGUAAUGUCUGGGAAACUGCCCGACGGAGGGGGAUAACUACUGGAAACGGUAGCUAAUACCGCAUAACGUCGCAAGACCAAAGUGGGGGACCUUCGGGCCUCACACCAUCGGAUGUGCCCAGAUGGGGUUGGAUAGUAGGUGGGGUAAUGGCUCACCUAGGCGACGAUCCCUAGCUGGCCCGAGAGGAUGACCAGCCAAACUGGAACUGAGACACGGUCCAGACUCCUACGGGAGGCAGCAGUGGGGAAUAUUGCACAAUGGGCGCAAGCCUGAUGCAGCCAUGCCGGGUGUAUGAAGAAGGCCUUCGGGUUGUAAAGUACUUUCAGCGGGGAGGAAGGCGGUGAAGUUAAUAACUUCACCGAUUGACGUUACCCGCAGAAGAAGCACCGGCUAACUCCGUGCCAGCCGCCGCGGUAA